CCUGGUGAUUAUGCCGAAAGAGGUCACACCUGAUCCCAUUCCGAACUCAGAAGUUAAGCUUUUUUGGGCUGAUGGUACUGCUGGCUUUGCCUGUGGGAGAGUAAGUAGUCGCCGGGA
This 117-nucleotide ribosomal RNA is filed under the name Candidatus Abawacabacteria bacterium RBG_16_42_10. Lineage: Bacteria; Candidatus Abawacaibacteriota. The record is from RNAcentral.